GGUAAAAAGCUCGUAGUUGGAUUUCUGUUGAGGAUGACCGGUCCGCUCUUUGAGCGCGUAUCUGGUUCAGCCUUGGCAUCCUCUUGGGGAACGCUACUGUGCUUGAUUGCAUGGGGCGGUAUUCAAGACUUUUACUUUGAGGAAAUUAGAGUGUUCACUGCAAGCGUUAGCAAUUUAAUACAUUAGCAUGGAAUAAUAAUAUAGGACCUUGGUACUAUUUUGUUGGUUUCUAGAACUAAGGUAAUGAUUAAUAGGGACAAUUGGGGGCAUUCGUAUUAACGCGUCAGAGGUGGAAUUCUUAGAUUGCGUUACGACGAACUACUGCGAAAGCAUUUGCCAAGGAUGUUUUCAUUGAUCAAGAACGAAAGUAUGGGGAUCGAAGACGCUUAGAUACCGUCGUAGUCUAUACCAUAAACUAUGCCAACUAGAGAUUGGAGGUCGUUCUCUUUAUGACUCCUUCAGCACCUUAUGAGAAAUCAAA
RNAcentral lists this ribosomal RNA (481 nucleotides) under uncultured marine eukaryote. RNAcentral's name for it is "SSU rRNA". It matches the Rfam family "Eukaryotic small subunit ribosomal RNA", at positions 620 to 1102 of the family's 1831-position model. The record is from RNAcentral.